UACGGAGGAUGCAAGCGUUAUCCGGAAUGAUUGGGCGUAAAGCGUCCGUAGGUGGCUGUGUAAGUCUGCUGUUAAAUAGUGAGGCUCAACCUCAUAAAGGCAGUGGAAACUACACGGCUAGAGUGCGUUCGGGGCAGAGGGAAUUCCUGGUGUAGCGGUGAAAUGCGUAGAGAUCAGGAAGAACACCGGUGGCGAAAGCGCUCUGCUAGGCCGCAACUGACACUGAGGGACGAAAGCUAGGGGAGCGAAUGGG
Molecule: ribosomal RNA, 253 nt
Filed under: uncultured bacterium
Lineage: Bacteria
Description: partial 16S ribosomal RNA
Rfam family: Bacterial small subunit ribosomal RNA
Source: RNAcentral